UUUUUGAUGUUAAUUUAAAGUCUGGUCUGCCCACUGAUUAAAAAAUUAAAGGGCUGCAGUAUUUUGACUGUACAAAGGUAGCAUAAUCAUUAGUCUCUUAAUUGGUGACUUGUAUGAAAGAUUUGAUGAAAUAUAAACUGUCUCUUAUUAAUUUAUAAAACUUAAUUUUUUAGUAAAAAAGCUAAAAUAAAUUUAAAAGACGAGAAGACCCUAUAGAGUUUUAUAAUGAAUUUAAUUAUUAUUUUAUAUAAAAUUUUUAAUUAAAAUUAAAUUUAUUAUUUUAUUGGGGUGAUAGAAAAAUUAAAAUAACUUUUUUUAAAUAUAAACCAUUUAUAAAUGAAUAUAUGAUCCGUUAAUAACGAUUAUAAGAAUAAAUUACCUUAGGGAUAACAGCGUAAUUUUUUUUUUUAGUUCGUAUAAAAAAAAAAGUUUGCGACCUCGAUGUUGGAUUAAGAUAAAAUUUAAAUGCAAAAGUUUAAAAUUUUGAUCUGUUCGAUCAUUAAAAUCUUACAUG
Molecule: ribosomal RNA, 514 nt
Filed under: Graphium nomius
Lineage: Eukaryota; Metazoa; Arthropoda; Insecta; Lepidoptera; Papilionidae
Description: partial 16S ribosomal RNA
Rfam family: Bacterial large subunit ribosomal RNA (bases 386-514)
Source: RNAcentral